This 61-nucleotide non-coding RNA is filed under the name unclassified sequences. RNAcentral's name for it is "RAGATH-18 RNA". It matches the Rfam family "RAGATH-18 RNA". From Rfam's summary of the family: Actinobacteria, Firmicutes, Fusobacteria, Thermotogae (1 example). Nearby to self-cleaving ribozyme genes The record is from Rfam by way of RNAcentral.
CUCUUGGAGAAUUACACCAACCCGAGUAGCUUAGGCAAAAGGGAAUUCGUUGAAGAGAGAA